UAGCGGAACUCCUACGGGAGGCAGCAGUGGGGAAUUUUGGACAAUGGGGGCAACCCUGAUCCAGCAAUGCCGCGUGAGUGAAGAAGGCCUUUGGGUUAUAAAGCUCUUUUGUCAGGGAAGAAACGGUAGUAGCUAAUAUCUAUAACUAAUGACGGUACCUGAAGAAUAAGCGCCGGCUAACUACGUGCAGCAGCCGCGGUAAUACGUAGGGUGCAAGCGUUAAUCGGAGGUACUGGGCGUAAAGCGUGCGCAGGCGGUUGUGUAAGUCAGAUGUGAAAUCCCCGGGCUCAACCUGGGAAUUGCAUUUGAGACUGCACGGCUAGAGUGUGUCAGAGGGGGGUAGAAUUCCACGUGUAGCAGUGAAAUGCGUAGAUAUGUGGAGGAAUACCGAUGGCGAAGGCAGCCCCCUGGGAUAACACUGACGCUCAUGCACGAAAACGUGGGGAGCAAACAGGAUUAGAAACCCGAGUAGUCCACUUAUG
Molecule: ribosomal RNA, 482 nt
Filed under: uncultured bacterium
Lineage: Bacteria
Description: bacterial SSU rRNA
Rfam family: Bacterial small subunit ribosomal RNA
Source: RNAcentral